GCCCGGGUGGUCUAGUGGUAUGAUUCUCGCUUAGGGUACACCCUUAGCAUAUCUGCGAGAGGUCCCGCGUUCGAUCCGCGGCUCGGGCC
Aspergillus terreus NIH2624 is the source of this 89-nucleotide non-coding RNA. The record is from the annotation of a RefSeq genome assembly. NCBI's taxonomy places the organism in Eukaryota, Fungi, Ascomycota, Eurotiomycetes, Eurotiales, Aspergillaceae.